GACGAACGCUGGCGGCGUGCUUAACACAUGCAAGUCGAGCGGUAAGGCCCUUUCGGGGUACGACGAGCGGCGAACGGGUGAGUAACACGUGGGUGACCUGCCCUCAGCUCUGGGAUAAGCCUGGGAAACCGGGUCUAAUACUGGAUAUGACUCCAUGACGCAUGUUGGUGGGGUGGAAAGCCUUGUGCGGCUGAGGAUGGGCCCGCGCCUAUCAGCUUGUUGGUGGGGUGANGGCCCUACCAAGGCGACGACGGGUAGCCGGCCUGAGAGGGCGACCGG
RNAcentral lists this ribosomal RNA (279 nucleotides) under uncultured bacterium. RNAcentral describes it as "partial 16S ribosomal RNA". It matches the Rfam family "Bacterial small subunit ribosomal RNA", at positions 28 to 307 of the family's 1533-position model. The record is from RNAcentral.